GAAAGGGGGAAGAAGGGGUAUGAACCCUAACCACAAGAAAAUCCAGCAAUUGAAGGUGUUAUGGAGCAAGAAUCGAACGCAUGAACUCGUUUUCUUGAUGAUCUAGCCCUAGCAAACAUGUGGAUAGGAAUCACAUUAGCAUGGACUCAAGAACGGAAGGUUAACGGGUCAAGCGGAGGCGAGGAAUCAAGCAUGAACACUAACGCUUAAGGUUGUACAAAUCAUAGAUUAUCACCAUGAGGUGUAGCGAUCAAAGACCGAGUCACGAGAUAGAUUGUACGGGAAUGCUGAUUAUGUAAAAUGAUAGUUAUAAGUUAUGCUUUUAUUAUGUAAAUGAGUACAAAAGAUGCAUAUAAUGUAAGAAAGUGUUUCAUAAUGAACUUGCUAGUAGG
Helianthus annuus (common sunflower) is the source of this 392-nucleotide long non-coding RNA. RefSeq lists it as uncharacterized. The record is from RefSeq and is a predicted model, not a curated record. The transcript has 3 exons. NCBI's taxonomy places the organism in Eukaryota, Viridiplantae, Streptophyta, Magnoliopsida, Asterales, Asteraceae.